GGGUUGUGAGGUUAAGCGACUAAGCGUACACGGUGGAUGCCCUGGCAGUCAGAGGCGAUGAAGGACGUGCUAAUCUGCGAUAAGCGUCGGUAAGGUGAUAUGAACCGUUAUAACCGGCGAUUUCCGAAUGGGGAAACCCAGUGUGUUUCGACACACUAUCAUUAACUGAAUCCAUAGGUUAAUGAGGCGAACCGGGGGAACUGAAACAUCUAAGUACCCCGAGGAAAAGAAAUCAACCGAGAUUCCCCCAGUAGCGGCGAGCGAACGGGGAGCAGCCCAGAGCCUGAAUCAGUGUGUGUGUUAGUGGAAGCGUCUGGAAAGGCGCGCGAUACAGGGUGACAGCCCCGUACACAAAAAUGCACAUGCUGUGAGCUCGAUGAGUAGGGCGGGACACGUGGUAUCCUGUCUGAAUAUGGGGGGACCAUCCUCCAAGGCUAAAUACUCCUGACUGACCGAUAGUGAACCAGUACCGUGAGGGAAAGGCGAAAAGAACCCCGGCGAGGGGAGUGAAAAAGAACCUGAAACCGUGUACGUACAAGCAGUGGGAGCACGCUUAGGCGUGUGACUGCGUACCUUUUGUAUAAUGGGUCAGCGACUUAUAUUCUGUAGCAAGGUUAACCGAAUAGGGGAGCCGAAGGGAAACCGAGUCUUAACUGGGCGUUAAGUUGCAGGGUAUAGACCCGAAACCCGGUGAUCUAGCCAUGGGCAGGUUGAAGGUUGGGUAACACUAACUGGAGGACCGAACCGACUAAUGUUGAAAAAUUAGCGGAUGACUUGUGGCUGGGGGUGAAAGGCCAAUCAAACCGGGAGAUAGCUGGUUCUCCCCGAAAGCUAUUUAGGUAGCGCCUCGUGAAUUCAUCUCCGGGGGUAGAGCACUGUUUCGGCAAGGGGGUCAUCCCGACUUACCAACCCGAUGCAAACUGCGAAUACCGGAGAAUGUUAUCACGGGAGACACACGGCGGGUGCUAACGUCCGUCGUGAAGAGGGAAACAACCCAGACCGCCAGCUAAGGUCCCAAAGUCAUGGUUAAGUGGGAAACGAUGUGGGAAGGCCCAGACAGCCAGGAUGUUGGCUUAGAAGCAGCCAUCAUUUAAAGAAAGCGUAAUAGCUCACUGGUCGAGUCGGCCUGCGCGGAAGAUGUAACGGGGCUAAACCAUGCACCGAAGCUGCGGCAGCGACGCUUAUGCGUUGUUGGGUAGGGGAGCGUUCUGUAAGCCUGCGAAGGUGUGCUGUGAGGCAUGCUGGAGGUAUCAGAAGUGCGAAUGCUGACAUAAGUAACGAUAAAGCGGGUGAAAAGCCCGCUCGCCGGAAGACCAAGGGUUCCUGUCCAACGUUAAUCGGGGCAGGGUGAGUCGACCCCUAAGGCGAGGCCGAAAGGCGUAGUCGAUGGGAAACAGGUUAAUAUUCCUGUACUUGGUGUUACUGCGAAGGGGGGACGGAGAAGGCUAUGUUGGCCGGGCGACGGUUGUCCCGGUUUAAGCGUGUAGGCUGGUUUUCCAGGCAAAUCCGGAAAAUCAAGGCUGAGGCGUGAUGACGAGGCACUACGGUGCUGAAGCAACAAAUGCCCUGCUUCCAGGAAAAGCCUCUAAGCAUCAGGUAACAUCAAAUCGUACCCCAAACCGACACAGGUGGUCAGGUAGAGAAUACCAAGGCGCUUGAGAGAACUCGGGUGAAGGAACUAGGCAAAAUGGUGCCGUAACUUCGGGAGAAGGCACGCUGAUAUGUAGGUGAAGCGACUUGCUCGUGGAGCUGAAAUCAGUCGAAGAUACCAGCUGGCUGCAACUGUUUAUUAAAAACACAGCACUGUGCAAACACGAAAGUGGACGUAUACGGUGUGACGCCUGCCCGGUGCCGGAAGGUUAAUUGAUGGGGUUAGCGCAAGCGAAGCUCUUGAUCGAAGCCCCGGUAAACGGCGGCCGUAACUAUAACGGUCCUAAG
This 1938-nucleotide ribosomal RNA is filed under the name Escherichia coli. RNAcentral describes it as "partial 23S ribosomal RNA". It matches the Rfam family "Bacterial large subunit ribosomal RNA", at positions 1 to 1955 of the family's 2925-position model. The record is from RNAcentral. Lineage: Bacteria; Pseudomonadati; Pseudomonadota; Gammaproteobacteria; Enterobacterales; Enterobacteriaceae.